RNAcentral lists this long non-coding RNA (1689 nucleotides) under Apteryx owenii (little spotted kiwi). RNAcentral describes it as "lncRNA (ENSAOWG00000015144.1)". The record is from RNAcentral. Lineage: Eukaryota; Metazoa; Chordata; Aves; Apterygiformes; Apterygidae.
CCCCCCAGCUCGCUCACAUGCUGGGUGCAGCCCCUCAAACGCCGCCCAGCGCGUACAGCGCCAGACAAACACCUUUUUUCCGUGCGAGCUUGCAGGCAUAACGGAGACAACGAGGUGAACAAAACAGUCCCGGCUGAACGGCCGGAGCAGGAGGCUCGGGGAAAUACAGUGCCCUCGGCGGGUGCUCCGCAGUGGUGAAGAAGUGCAACUGCAUUAUGUCCUGCCGUGCGAUCUCAGGGCAAGGAGAGCUGGGCGAAAGGGCUGCCAAGGGGAAAGAAGCCUGAUACCGUGUUCAUGUGCAUAGGCCCCUCUCAGACACCUCCAUAUUGAGGGAAACUGCUUUGGACAUUCUUAGUUUAAAAACAAGAUGCACUUAAAAGGAACAAAUCCCUCCCCCAUUCUUUCUCCUAAAUGGAAUGAGUUAAAGAGCUCUAAAUUUUUGACUAGUUGCUGAGGUGAAAAUAGGAAGAAACAACUUGUGCAUAUGCUCUUUACCAUACCAUGUUUGACAGAUCUUUUCCUCACCAGACUUAUGAUUGCUUCUCUUGUGUUGGUUGUAGGAAACUGGUUUCACUUCAAACAUCCUCAUCCAGGUCCUCUGAGCCACAGAAAUCUGAUGACCUCCAUAAGAUUUGCGUCCUUUGUUCCUGCAGUUCCCACAGCUAUCUCAGCAGCCCUACCUUCCUCUACGGAUCCUUGACACUCCUCCCUUCAGGGGAGACGGCAGGACGCGUGGUUAGUCCUGAGCUGUGCAGGGGCGGGUGGGCUGGCAGGCUGCUGCCAAAGGGGUCGCGGCAUGCCCGAGUUCCCCCUGCCUCUCCCUGGAGGCUGGCAAUGCCGAUUUCUCACCUCCACUUCUCAUGAAACCUGAGAUUUUUUUCCUCCUCCCUAAAUGUUAAGAAGUUACAAGGAGGAGGCCAGCCUGACAGCUGAAUAGAAGCAGACCGACCGACUAACAUAAGCUUCAUUUUCAUUAGAAAAAAUGUCAAAAAUAAUAGAUUAUAACUUGGAGGGUUUCUUUAAACUUCAAAUAGCAGGCAGUAGGGCACCGUUCUGAUAAUUUUCCCUUUAGGUCUCUUAACAUUUAUCGGUACUGCAUAUAGUAUCCUAAAUACUUCACCCUGCUCUCUCUGAUGAAAAUCCAUUAAGUGAAAGUAUUUUAUCUGUUUUAGAGUCUCACAGCAUCUCACUUUUCUCUAAAUCCACCCAAAGUUGGCUCCUCUUGAUUAUACUGUGCAGUGCAUCAACUUUCACAGGUACCUCAAAUUGCACUAGUUCCAGCACCACCUCGGAAAGACCUUUGCCUUCCGUUGCCGGGGACUGCUCAGGAAACCCAUCGCAAAGGCAUGCGAGGAUACCUUGGAUCCAGUUGCCCUCAAUGUAUCUUGUGGAAUCAAAUCUGCGUGGAUAUCUCAGUUUCUCCAAAGUUACCGUUAGGUAACAAUGACACAAUGCUAUUUCUAUACCAGUCCUCGGGGAUUUAUACCCGGGAAUGCAGAAAGGACUCUCUACAUCCAGCACUGCUGAUCCUCAGACAGUGAUUUGGAGGAGACAGCAGUAUCUCCACUACAGGAGCUCUUACUGUCCCUAUCGACUGUUUGACAAGGACUUUACUAGUGGUUUAACAGCAGUUGGCAUCACCCUUAUAAAUAACAUACCUAAAUAAAGGUACUUCUUACUAUGGUCUCA